AUGCGUGAUCAGGUCGGCAUCGACCUGGACGACUUCUCACUCGACCACGAGUUCUCAGACGACUACGGGCUAGAGGAAGACGAUGGGUGCGACGUCGAAGUGGAGCCUAUGUUCGAGGACGAGCUCGCCAACCAAGCCGCCGGUCCUAAGCCGAAGCGCAAGAGCAAGCGCACGAAUGCAUACACGGCGGCCGAGGACAAGCUUCUUUGCGAGUGUUGGCGAUACAUUGGACAAGACGGCGCCGAGCAAAAGCAUUCAACCUUUUGGAUUCGUUUCCACCGAGAGUUUCAUGAGCGCAAGAAGUUUCCGCCUUACCAAUUUGUGAGCACGCGCGGGUGGGUCUCCAUUUCCAUGUGA
RNAcentral lists this ribosomal RNA (357 nucleotides) under Triticum aestivum (bread wheat). RNAcentral's name for it is "partial small subunit ribosomal RNA". Lineage: Eukaryota; Viridiplantae; Streptophyta; Magnoliopsida; Poales; Poaceae. The record is from RNAcentral.